Small nuclear RNA from Onychomys torridus (southern grasshopper mouse), 191 nucleotides. RefSeq annotates it as U2 spliceosomal RNA. Lineage: Eukaryota; Metazoa; Chordata; Mammalia; Rodentia; Cricetidae. The transcript has a single exon. The record is from RefSeq and is a predicted model, not a curated record.
AUCGCUUCUUGGCUUUUUGCCUAAGAUCAAGUGUAGUAUCUGUUCUUAUCAGUUCAAUAUCUGAUACGUUCUCUAUCUGAGUACAACAUAUUAAAUUGGUUUUUGGAGUUUGGGGUUGGAAUAUGAGCUUGCCCUGUCCACUCCACCCAUUGACCUGGCAUUAUAGUACCUCUCGGAACGGUGCACCCCGU